GUUCCGGGAUGUGAAGGGUAGUGUCAAGGGCCGUUCUGGGCAAUGAUUGGGCACCGCAAGAACGCCCGACUAAGCCUUUCCGGGUUCAGGGCAGCUCCAAAUGGACCCCUAGUCCCUGCCUCCCUCUUCGUGUACCCAGUGCCCAUUGGCCGACUGUUGGGGACCGGCACGAUGAUUGCAGGACGGAGUUCAGGCGGCAGAAAAAGAAAUUUCAAAUAUGGAAAGGAGGAAAACUGGAACACUGAGGUGAUAUACUGGAAUUGGAGAGCUACACCUAAACUCGUGGUUUGCAAUAUAUAGAUAUGAGGAAAUGACAGCACAUAGAGUUUAAGAGGCUAAGUAAUGGGGCCAGUGUUGUGGCAUAGCUUGUGACACCAGCAUCCCAUUUGGGCAUUGGUUCGAGUCCCGGCUGCUCCUCUUCAAAUCCAGCUCUCUGCUACGACCUGGGAAAGCAUCAGAAAAUGGCCCAAGUCCUUGGGCCCCUGCACCCAUGUGGAGACUCAAAAGAAGCUCCUGGCUCCUGGCUUUGGACUGUCCCAGAUCAAACCAUUGAAGCAAUUUGGGGAGUGAACCAGUGGAUGGAAGACUCUCUCUCUGCUUCUGUAACUUCGCCUUUCAAAUAAAUAAAUAAAUCUUUAAAAAAUUCAAA
Long non-coding RNA from Oryctolagus cuniculus (rabbit), 649 nucleotides. RefSeq lists it as uncharacterized. NCBI's taxonomy places the organism in Eukaryota, Metazoa, Chordata, Mammalia, Lagomorpha, Leporidae. The record is from RefSeq and is a predicted model, not a curated record.